This 440-nucleotide ribosomal RNA is filed under the name uncultured bacterium. RNAcentral's name for it is "partial 16S ribosomal RNA". It matches the Rfam family "Bacterial small subunit ribosomal RNA", at positions 338 to 795 of the family's 1533-position model. The record is from RNAcentral.
CCUACGGGAGGCAGCAGUGGGGAAUAUUGGACAAUGGGCGCAAGCCUGAACCAGCGACGCCGCGUGAGUGAGGACGGAUCUCGGUGUGUAAAACUGUAUCAGCAGGGAAGAAAAUGACGGUACCUGACUAAGAAGCCGCGGCUAACUACGUGCCAGCAGCCGCGGUAAUACGUAGGGGGCAAGCGUUAUCCGGAUUUACUGGGUGUAAAGGGAGCGUAGACGGUGCAGCAAGUCUGAUGUGAACGGUCGUGGCCCAACCCUGGGACUGCAUUGGAAACUGUUGAACUGGAGUACAGGAGGGGUAGGCGGAAUUCCUAGUGUAGCGGUGAAAUGCGUAGAUAUUAGGAGGAACACCAGUGGCGAAGGCGGCUUACUGGACUGUAACUGACGUUGAGGCUCGAAAGCGUGGGGAGCAAACAGGAUUAGAUACCCGGGUAGUC